GAUGAACGCUGGCGGCGUGCCUAAUACAUGCAAGUCGAGCGAACGGACGAGAAGCUUGCUUCUCUGAUGUUAGCGGCGGACGGGUGAGUAACACGUGGAUAACCUACCUAUAAGACUGGGAUAACUUCGGGAAACCGGAGCUAAUACCGGAUGAUAUUUUGAACCGCAUGGUUCAAAAGUGAAAGACGGUCUUGCUGUCACUUAUAGAUGGAUCCGCGCUGCAUUAGCUAGUUGGUAAGGUAACGGCUUACCAAGGCAACGAUGCAUAGCCGACCUGAGAGGGUGAUCGGCCACACUGGAACUGAGACACGGUCCAGACUCCUACGGGAGGCAGCAGUAGGGAAUCUUCCGCAAUGGGCGAAAGCCUGACGGAGCAACGCCGCGUGAGUGAUGAAGGUCUUCGGAUCGUAAAACUCUGUUAUUAGGGAAGAACAUAUGUGUAAAUAACUGUGCACAUCUUGACGGUACCUAAUCAGAAAGCCACGGCUAACUACGUG
This 497-nucleotide ribosomal RNA is filed under the name uncultured bacterium. RNAcentral describes it as "partial 16S ribosomal RNA". It matches the Rfam family "Bacterial small subunit ribosomal RNA", at positions 28 to 507 of the family's 1533-position model. The record is from RNAcentral.